Long non-coding RNA from Pongo pygmaeus (Bornean orangutan), 1358 nucleotides. RefSeq lists it as uncharacterized. The transcript has 3 exons. The record is from RefSeq and is a predicted model, not a curated record. NCBI's taxonomy places the organism in Eukaryota, Metazoa, Chordata, Mammalia, Primates, Hominidae.
UGCUUGUCAAUGGGUCAUCUCCCUGGGAAAUGCAGCGCGUCCCCUUGAGUCAGGCCAAGGCUUUAUGGACAAGAGUUACAGGGCGUGGCUUAAUUCUCAGGGUUCCCUCUCCUCCUCCUCCUGCACCUGCCUCAGGUGUUUGGCUGCUGAGCAGAAUGCAGUCAAGAUUCCGGUCCCCACCCCAGGCCCAUACCUUACCCUAGGGACUCCACUGAGGGUCCAGCCCAGACUUCUCUGCCCUCACAGGACCUGGUCAAGAGGAGCGAGCAGCCUCUUAGAAGCGCAUGAGCUAUACCAUGACAGGGACCCUCUGUGGGAUGUGGAAACCCAGAGGAGGCAUUAAACUCAACUGGGCUUGGGGGGACAGUGGCUAGGGAAGGCAUCCUGGAGGAGGCAACCUCUGAGUUGGCUACUGAAGGAUAAGCAGGUGUAUGCCACACAGAGAGGGAAGAUGGAGGGCAUCCCAGCCCGUCACCAGCUUGAGCAAGGCCUCCAAGGCCUAUAGUGGCCUGUGAGGGAGAGGAGAGCUGCAUACUUUGUUGUCCUAGAGCCCAGGUACAAGGCGGACAUGGGCUGUGCAGGAGGCCUUGUCAGUCCCUGUUUCCAGGGGAGGUAAGAUGGUGUCCAGGCAGAGGCGGAAACACCUGCAGAGGCCUCAGAGAAGGAAAGGCUAGCACCAUGGUGGAGGUGGGCCCUCUGGACAGAUGGGGCUGCAUCAGAGAGACAGCGUCUCUUCCCUAUGUUGCCCAGGAAGGCAAAGCUGGAGUUGCUGAAGUAACUUCCUCUGCACCGGUCCUGGGGCUGCUGCUCCCCAGCUCAGGCGAGUAGGUUGGGAACCUCCCCUAGCCUCAGUUUCCUCCUGGUAAAUGCAGCAUAAUUUCUUCACCGCCCUUUGGAGUGGAAGAAGAUUAUGUGGCCUGGAGACACCUAGUGCAGAAUAUUGUUUCCUGCACUCAAAGAUGAUGGUUUCUGUGGCUGGGCGCGGUGGCUCACGCCUGUAAUCCCAGCACUUUGGGAGGCUGAGGCGGGCGGAUCACCUGAGGUCAGAAGUUCGAGACCACCCUGGCCAACAUGGUGAAACCCUGUCUCUACCAAAGAUACAAAAAUUAGCCGGGUGUGGUGGUGCACACUUGUAAUCCCAGCUACUCAGGAGACUGAGGCAGGAGAAUCGCUUGAACCCAGGAGGCAGAGGUUGCAGUGAGCCAAGAUCAUGUCACUACACUCCAGCCUGAGCAACAGAGCCAGACUCAGUCUCAAAAAAAAAAAAAAAAAAAUGAUGGUUUCUGCAUUAGCACAAAACAACAUUUGUUUUUUUCCCAUAGGCCUUCAGACUUUUCAUAAAUUCUCGUUUUUUUUUU